AUUGAACGCUAGCGGCAUGCCUUACACAUGCAAGUCGAACGGCAGCACGAACUUCGGUUUGGUGGCGAGUGGCGAACGGGUGAGUAAAGCAUCGGAACGUGCCUAGCAGUGGGGGAUAACUAUUCGAAAGAGUAGCUAAUACCGCAUACGAUCUAAGGAUGAAAGUGGGGGAUCUUCGGACCUCAUGCUAUUAGAGCGGCCGAUGUCAGAUUAGCUAGUUGGUGAGGUAAAAGCUCACCAAGGCGACGAUCUGUAGCUGGUCUGAGAGGACGACCAGCCACACUGGGACUGAGACACGGCCCAGACUCCUACGGGAGGCAGCAGUGGGGAAUUUUGGACAAUGGGCGAAAGCCUGAUCCAGCAAUGCCGCGUGUGUGAAGAAGGCCUUCGGGUUGUAAAGUACUUUUGUUCGGGAAGAAAAGGUUUGUGUUAAUACCAUAAGCUGAUGACGGUACCGAAAGAAUAAGCACCGGCUAACUACGUGCCAGCAGCCGCCGUAA
This 500-nucleotide ribosomal RNA is filed under the name uncultured bacterium. RNAcentral's name for it is "partial 16S ribosomal RNA". It matches the Rfam family "Bacterial small subunit ribosomal RNA", at positions 30 to 523 of the family's 1533-position model. The record is from RNAcentral.